GGUUCCGUAGCUCAGUUGGAUAGAGCAACAGCCUUCUAAGCUGUGGGUCGAGCGUUCGAGUCGCUCCGGAAUCACGA
RNAcentral lists this transfer RNA (77 nucleotides) under Bacteroidales bacterium. RNAcentral's name for it is "tRNA-Arg". It matches the Rfam family "tRNA". Rfam says of the family: Transfer RNA (tRNA) molecules are approximately 80 nucleotides in length. Lineage: Bacteria; Pseudomonadati; Bacteroidota; Bacteroidia; Bacteroidales. The record is from RNAcentral.